This 468-nucleotide ribosomal RNA is filed under the name uncultured bacterium. Its description in RNAcentral is "partial 16S ribosomal RNA". It matches the Rfam family "Bacterial small subunit ribosomal RNA", at positions 28 to 507 of the family's 1533-position model. The record is from RNAcentral.
GACGAACGCUGGCGGCGUGCUUAACACAUGCAAGUCGAACGGAAAGGCCCUGCUUUUGUGGGGUGCUCGAGUGGCGAACGGGUGAGUAACACGUGAGUAACCUGCCCUUGACUUUGGGAUAACUUCAGGAAACUGGGGCUAAUACCGGAUAGGAGCUCCUGCUGCAUGGUGGGGGUUGGAAAGUUUCGGCGGUUGGGGAUGGACUCGCGGCUUAUCAGCUUGUUGGCGGGGUAGUGGCUUACCAAGGCUUUGACGGGUAGCCGGCCUGAGAGGGUGACCGGCCACAUUGGGACUGAGAUACGGCCCAGACUCCUACGGGAGGCAGCAGUGGGGAAUAUUGCACAAUGGGCGGAAGCCUGAUGCAGCAACGCCGCGUGCGGGAUGACGGCCUUCGGGUUGUAAACCGCUUUCGCCUGUGGCGAAGCGUGAGUGACGGUAAUGAGUAAAGAAGCACCGGCUAACUACGUG